This 75-nucleotide transfer RNA is filed under the name Rickettsiales bacterium. RNAcentral's name for it is "tRNA-Glu". It matches the Rfam family "tRNA". Rfam says of the family: Transfer RNA (tRNA) molecules are approximately 80 nucleotides in length. Their secondary structure includes four short double-helical elements and three loops (D, anti-codon, and T loops). Lineage: Bacteria; Pseudomonadati; Pseudomonadota; Alphaproteobacteria; Rickettsiales. The record is from RNAcentral.
GGUCCCUUCGUCUAGUGGUUAGGACAUCAGCUUCUCAAGCUGGUAAUAUGGGUUCAAAUCCCGUAGGGAUCACCA